CCAGACGUUUACACAUAUACAACUCUUAUUGAUGCGCUCUGCAAGUCAGGGGACCUUGACAGGGCUCACAGCCUCUUGCAAGAGAUGUUAGAUAAAGGAAUUAAGCCAACUAUAGUGACUUACAAUGUUUUGAUGAAUGGUUUUUGCAUGUCAGGCAGGGUAGAAGGAGGAAAGAAGCUGCUUGAUUGGAUGCUCGAGAAAAACAUACAUCCAAAUGCUGCAACUUACAAUUCUCUUAUGAAGCAGUACUGCAUUGAAAAUAACAUGAAGUCUACCACCGAGAUCUAUAAGGGGAUGCGUUCUCGAGAUGUAGGGCCAAAUGAGAAUACAUACAAUAUAUUGAUCAAGGGUCACUGCAAGGCAAGAAAUAUGAAAGAGGCACUAUAUUUCCACGAUGAAAUGAUACAGAAGGGUUUCAGACUUACUGCAACCUCAUACAGUGCUCUUAUAAGAUUGCUGAAUAAAAAGAAGAAAUUUGUUGAAGCAAGAGAACUGUUUCAUGAUAUGAGGAAGGAGGGUUUGACAGCUGAAUCAGAUGUAUACGAUUUUUAUAUUGAUCUCAACUUUAAUGAGGACAAUUUGGAGUCGACUCUUGCUCUUUGUGAUGAACUGGUGGAAGCCAGUAUUGUGAAAUCAUAAACUGAAAUGGAUCAAGAUGUUGUAAAGGAACAUAUACAUUAGGAACAUAAUUUUGGCUGGUUAUGUCAUGCUAGCUUCUUCAGGAUUGUGUUUGCAUGCAGUGUGAAUACAAGAUCCAGAGAUAGUACUGUUCCUUUUCACGAUGCUAAAACUGGUAAUUGAGGGUAAAAUCAUGCCUAAUGGUACAAGAGAUAUUACACACUGGAACUUCUUGGUGAUAAUGGAUGGGUUACACACUGAAAACGGCAUCAGCUAUUCACUUGAUGCAACAAAAGGCAUGUUUUCUUCUGGUAAUCUUUCAGAGAAGCUUCGCAUGGGACAGCUAAACUGCAGAAAUGAGGUGGUGGUGGAUUUAUUUGCUGGAAUUGGAUACUUUGUUCUUCUGUUUCUUGUGAAGGCUAAUGGCAAGCUAUUUUAUGCAUGCGAAGGGAAUCCAUAUGCUCUGGAGGCUCUUUGGCGCAAUGUAUUAUACUUGAAGGAGAUAACCGGGUGACUGCACCCAAAAUCGACGAAGCGGGUGACAAGACCGAAGUGGCCACAGCUUCAGGUGGUUGAGCGAGAGGCGAGGGGCCACGCUUUCAUCAGAUGAUCAGUUGAUCACCAUCCCUUCCCGCUGCAGACCUCUCUGCCGUAGUUUAUCUUGUACUACACUGAUUGAAAUUUCCUCCACGCUUUCUUGUGUUCUUUGUCAUUUCCUUCACUUGCGCGGUCAAGAUCAUAUCCCAAUCUUGCCGUCGAUCUGGUUUGUUGGUU
This is an RNA transcript of Zea mays, 1392 nucleotides long. It is a transcript of the gene named pentatricopeptide repeat-containing protein pseudogene, with no coding region annotated. The record is from RefSeq and is marked validated. NCBI's taxonomy places the organism in Eukaryota, Viridiplantae, Streptophyta, Magnoliopsida, Poales, Poaceae. The transcript has 4 exons.